GAAUGCUAUCAUACCAGCACUAAUGCACCGGAUCCCAUCGAACUCCGCAGUUAAGCGUGCUUGGGCAAGAGUAGUACUAGUAUGGGUGACUUCCCGGAAAGUCCUCGUGUUGCAUCCC
RNAcentral lists this ribosomal RNA (118 nucleotides) under Arabidopsis thaliana x Arabidopsis arenosa. The record is from RNAcentral. Lineage: Eukaryota; Viridiplantae; Streptophyta; Magnoliopsida; Brassicales; Brassicaceae.